AUAUUUAUUAUCUCUCUUCAACUUCAAAUCUGAACGAAAGCCAACGCUCCCUUUGAAACAGCUUUGACGAUCCCCCUCCAUUCACACCAACUUCAUAUAAAUCCCUAAUUUUCUCUUAUCACCCACCACCUACAAAAUAAUUCCUCUCUCUCUCUCUCUCUCUCUCUCUCCAGUGCACUCCCGACACAAAGGUUCACCUCCCCUCUCUCUCUCUCUCUCUCUCUCUCUCUCUCCUUCUCCUCUCCUAUGCUAUGUGUUACGGAGGGACAUCACCCGAGCGUUAACAUGGAAACAGGCGAUCGAUUCCCUCAAUGGAGUCUUCAGGAGACCAAGGAGUUGUUAUUGAUCAGGGCGGAGCUCGAUCGGACUUUCAUGGAGACCAAACGGAACAAGCUCCUCUGGGAGGUUAUCUCGACAAGGUUGAAGGAGAAAGGUUACCAUCGAAGUGCAGAUCAGUGCAAGUGCAAGUGGAAGAACCUUGUUACCCGAUAUAAGGGCUGUGAAACUAUUGAACCUGAUUCCGUGAGACAACAAUUCCCAUUUUACAACGAGAUACAGUCUAUCUUCAACGCCAGGAUGCAGAGGAUGCUAUGGCUUGAAGCUGAAGGCGGCGGAGCGGGCAGUUCUAGUUUGAGCAAAAAGAAAACGCGGAUGUCAUCGGACGAUGACGAUGAGAACGACGAGGAGAAGUUCAGUGGUAAGAAGAAGAAAAAGAGUAGGAGCAAUAACAGUACGGCGGGUAUAGCAGGCAGCAGUAGUAGCACUAACAAUAAUAAUUUGCAAGAGAUAUUAGAGGAAUUCAUGAGGCAACAAGUGCAAAUGGAAGUGCAAUGGCGAGAAGCCAUGGAGGCGAGGGAACAACAGAGACGGUUAAAGGAGAUGGAAUGGAGACAGACAAUGGAGGCGUUGGAGAAAGAGAGGUUAUUGAUGGAUAGGAGGUGGAGAGAGAUAGAGGAACAAAGACGAAUUCGAGAGGAAGCUCGGGCGGAGAAGAGAGACGCCCUCAUCUCAGCUCUUCUAAACAAAAUAAGGCGUGAAGACAUAUGAUGUGAUGUGAACUAGUUAUAUUGUUUUGAGGGGGGGAAGAGCUGCAGCUGCUCUUGUUUUCUUGUACUGUAGAGAAGCCCUGAGAGAGGUGUAAAUAUAUGGGAGUGUAAAGAAUGAAGAUAGGAGGAAGGUUAUUUCUUUGGGAAAGAAGCAAGAUGAUGUGGUUUUCACUCUCCACUUUAUAAGAGAGAGAAUUUAAGGUAAAAGGAAGGUGAUACCAAUUUUGUAUCAGUAUUUGGGAUGCAAAAUUUGCACU
Molecule: non-coding RNA, 1303 nt
Organism: Nelumbo nucifera (sacred lotus)
Lineage: Eukaryota; Viridiplantae; Streptophyta; Magnoliopsida; Proteales; Nelumbonaceae
Source: RefSeq, a predicted model, not a curated record